RNAcentral lists this ribosomal RNA (315 nucleotides) under uncultured bacterium. RNAcentral's name for it is "bacterial SSU rRNA". It matches the Rfam family "Bacterial small subunit ribosomal RNA", at positions 28 to 334 of the family's 1533-position model. The record is from RNAcentral.
GAUGAACGCUAGCGGCAGGCUUAACACAUGCAAGUCGAGGGGCAGCAUGAAGGUUAGCAAUAACCUUUGAUGGCGACCGGCGCAAGGGUGCGUAACGCGUGAGCAACUUGCCCGUUUCAGGGGGAUAACCGGUGGAAACGCCGACUAAUACCCCAUGGCAUCAUUAGGAGGCAUCUCCUUCUGAUUAAAGAAUUUCGGAAACGGAUAGGCUCGCGUGACAUUAGCUAGACGGCGGGGUAACGGCCCACCGUGGCGACGAUGUCUAGGGGUUCUGAGAGGAAGGUCCCCCACACUGGAACUGAGACACGGGUCCAG